This 1097-nucleotide long non-coding RNA is filed under the name Gadus morhua (Atlantic cod). RNAcentral describes it as "lncRNA (ENSGMOG00000030667.1)". Lineage: Eukaryota; Metazoa; Chordata; Actinopteri; Gadiformes; Gadidae. The record is from RNAcentral.
UGACCAGUUUUAUCGGAAACGAUGUACACCCAAUGACAUCAAUCCCCUCCUCUCUUCUUAUUCAGCUCAGAGAAUUCAACACUCAAAACCAAGAGGCCACCAUGUGGAUUGGAGCACUACAACGGAAGCUCACAACUCUAGCAGAACAAACCAAUGCUGAGGACAGACUUCACAGUGCACAGGCCGUUCUGGGCUCCAAGCCCGAAGGAGACGGCAAGGUGGACGAUCUGAGAAGACGGGGGCAGAGCGUGUGUGAGCGUGAGGACCUGAAGGAGAGCAGCAGGAAGGAGGUGCAGCAGGCCGUCAGGGAGGCGGCGGAGCAGUGGAGAAGCGUUCUAGAGAAGGCGGAGGAGGUCCUCCACAGGACUGAGCUCCAGUCCACCCUCUCCAGGGAGCUGCAGGCGUUCAGCGGCCAGGCAGAGAGUGCUGGGACCUGGCUGAAGGAGCUCCGACACCAGGCCGCCCCGCUGGAGACCCAGGUGACCCAGGGCAACCAGGAGCAGAUAGAGAGCAGGCUCAAAGCAGCGCAGGUAACAUGCACAAACACACACGCACGCACACGCACACGCACGCAUGCACACACACACACAGACAGACACACAGACACAGACACACACACAGACACACACACAGACACACACAGAGACACAGACACACACACAGACACAGACACACACACAUGCACACGCACACGUGCACACCCACACACACGCGUGCACUCACACACACAUACACACACACACACACACACCUAUAUAUAUACAUAUACACAUACAUAAUAAAAGGUACUACUUAAAUAGGAUGCUGUUGUUUCUCGUCCAAUGACCUUCUGCCCCCUCCGUGGUUUCCCAGACGAUCCUUGGCUCCAGGUCGAGGGCCAAGGGCUUCCUGUCAGACCUGAGCAGAGGAGCACAGAGUCUGUGUCAGCGUGAGGACCUGGAGGAGAGCAGGAGGACGGAGGUGCAGCAGACGGUCAGACAGACAGAGGAGCAGUGGAGGUCCCUCCUGAAGACUGCUGAGGGGGCGCAGAGGUACAGGAGUCAUGUCAAGUGACGUCAUGUCACCUGACGUCAUGUCAUGCGACGUCAUGGCCGGUG